GACAAGAAGUAACAGGACCAGAGGGUGGGGGCUGCUGUUUCCAUCGGCCCACACCAUGCUGACCCCGCCGUUGCUGCUGCUGCUGCCCCUGCUUUCAGCUCUGGUCGCCGGGGCCACUAUGGAUGCCCCUAAAACUUGCAGCCCUAAGCAGUUUGCCUGCAGAGACCAAAUCACCUGUAUCUCGAAGGGCUGGCGGUGUGACGGGGAAAGAGAUUGUCCGGACGGCUCUGAUGAAGCCCCCGAGAUCUGUCCACAGAGUAAAGCCCAGAGAUGCCCACCAAAUGAGCACAGUUGCCUGGGGACCGAGCUGUGUGUCCCCAUGUCUCGUCUCUGCAACGGGAUCCAGGAUUGCAUGGAUGGCUCAGAUGAGGGUGCUCACUGCCGAG
Molecule: long non-coding RNA, 386 nt
Filed under: Rattus norvegicus (Norway rat)
Lineage: Eukaryota; Metazoa; Chordata; Mammalia; Rodentia; Muridae
Description: long non-coding RNA NONRATT026844
Source: RNAcentral